UUACGGCAAUAUCACGUUGAAACACCGGUUCCCGUAAGAUCAACGAAGUUAAGCAAUGUCAAGCCUGCUCCGUAUCUAGAUGAGUGACCAUUUGGGUGACCAAGUGCUGUAA
This is a non-coding RNA of Acanthosepion pharaonis, 112 nucleotides long. Lineage: Eukaryota; Metazoa; Mollusca; Cephalopoda; Sepiida; Sepiidae. The record is from the annotation of a GenBank genome assembly.